Molecule: long non-coding RNA, 1668 nt
Organism: Cornus florida
Lineage: Eukaryota; Viridiplantae; Streptophyta; Magnoliopsida; Cornales; Cornaceae
Exons: 3
Source: RefSeq, a predicted model, not a curated record
CGUUGUCAUUUUGACCUAUUUGUGUAUAUGUGUACUUACCUAACUCAUAAUCUGUGGUUUCUCUUUAGAACACAGUCGAUACUCACGUCUCUCUCUCUACAUUCACUUUGUAUUCCACUAUACACCUCUUUUUCUCUCUACCAUCACCCUUUCCUCAUACUACACAAGAUACCUCCCUCUCUUCAAUCAUUUUUCCCCCAAUCUCAACAGAUUGUCUAGGGUAAACUUCAGGGGAUGAAGUUUGGGAGAAGACUUUUCGACCAAUUCUCACAGGCUUUCGUCGUUUUCCUAUAGGAUUCGCCAUGAAAAGAGGCAGGUCGAAGGCUGAAACGAAAAAAACUGAUAGCAAGUUGUCGGUGAAGAAAAGAGGAGCACUGAGCGAAUAAGCCGGCAAAAAGCCAGCCAAUAAGGGUAGGCCGCAAAAGAUCCCAACAAGCCCAAGAGGCCUACGAGUGCCUUCUUCGUUUUCAUGUAUAUAUCAUUUCUGUAUAUAUUUUCUGAGAUCUAUGUUUUAAUAUUACAUCAAAAUUGUUUCAUUCAAUCUAUUCGUAGUUUAUAAUCGAUUAUUUGGCAUUUUAAAAAAUGUUUUCUUUCAGUUUUGGUGAAUUUAGGAAGAGGAGAAGCACCUUAACAACAAAUUUGUCUCAGUUGUAUGUAUUUGUCAUCUCUUCAGAUCUACAAAUUUAAUUUAAUUCAAUUUUGUUGAGUUUAAUGUUUUGAAUCAGUUUUUUUUUUUUUUUCUUCCCUUUUUCUUUUUGUAAUUGUUGUUAUGAUUAUGCAUUAUUUUCUGUGAUUAGGUUGGUAAAGUUGGUGGAGAUAAAUGGAAAUUCAUGUCGGAAGCUGAGUAAAUUAUCUGAAAAAAUAGUUCUAAUUUCUGGUUCAGAUUUAUUGGUUAGAGCUGAAGAUAACAUUUUUAUCUUCUUUUUUUUCCCUUUAAUUUAUUCCACUUUGAUUCAUGGGUGCAUACAUGAUCUAGUUGCCUUAUCUAUUUUGAUAUGGGCUUCAUUUCUCUCUUUAUUGUAUCAAAUGAGUUCACCCUAGGUCCCUAACAACUUGGUUGGGGCCUUUAAUCUUGGGUUGGAAUUCAAAAUUUAAAGAUUAAUGUAAUUAGCUGGUAGAAAAAUAGUGUAUUGAAGAUAUUGACCAAUAAGAGAAAAAUUAUAUAGUAUUAAUUUUUAAGCUUACACAGAGCUAGAGUACUAUGUUUAAGCCUCUUACACAUAGCUAGAGUACUAUGUUUAAGCCUUACCCUAUAGGUCAACACAAAUUAAUGCUUGUUUCCAAUUUUAUAUUAAAAUACAAUGAAUGAAAAGCAAACACCAUCCAUAACUAUUUUUCGACCUCUAUUUAUGCACAAUAAUAUAUAAAAAAAAAAUGGUCACUUAAGGCACGUAACCCCCUAUACACCGCAAAAUUGGUCACUUAAAGGCACGAAUGCAAGAUGUAAUUAUAAGUACUCCAUGUUGAAAGGACAUUAGAAGUAUUCCAGCUUAAAAACUCAUGAAUGUAAGAUGUAAUUAUAAGAAAAAUAAUAAAGAAGAAUAUAAAAUAGUAUAGAAUGAAGUCAUAUAUGAAUCCCUCACCAGUUCCUGACGAAGCCUGUUACUUUGUUGAAUUGCAGUAGCCUUCUCCUCCAUCAAGAAUUGAAAUCAGAGAUCUUCCCUGAAA